GGUGCCAUGGUCUAGUGGUAUGACGAAUCAUUGUGGUGAAGUGCAACUGUACCCAUCGGUUCUGAUUUAGCCCCGGUUCGAUUCCGGGUGGCGCCA
Penicillium coprophilum is the source of this 96-nucleotide transfer RNA. It matches the Rfam family "tRNA". From Rfam's summary of the family: Transfer RNA (tRNA) molecules are approximately 80 nucleotides in length. Their secondary structure includes four short double-helical elements and three loops (D, anti-codon, and T loops). Further hydrogen bonds mediate the characteristic L-shaped molecular structure. tRNAs have two regions of fundamental functional importance: the anti-codon, which is responsible for specific mRNA codon recognition, and the 3' end, to which the tRNAs corresponding amino acid is attached (by aminoacyl-tRNA synthetases). tRNAs cope with the degeneracy of the genetic code in two manners: having more than one tRNA (with a specific anti-codon) for a particular amino acid; and 'wobble' base-pairing, i.e. permitting non-standard base-pairing at the 3rd anti-codon position. NCBI's taxonomy places the organism in Eukaryota, Fungi, Ascomycota, Eurotiomycetes, Eurotiales, Aspergillaceae. The record is from Rfam.